ACGGGUGAGUAACACGUUGGGUAACCUGCCUGUAAGACUGGGAUAACUCCGGGAAACCGGGGCUAAUACCGGAUGGUUGUUUGAACCGCAUGGUUCAGACAUAAAAGGUGGCUUCGGCUACCACUUACAGAUGGACCCGCGGCGCAUUAGCUAGUUGGUGAGGUAACGGCUCACCAAGGCGACGAUGCGUAGCCGACCUGAGAGGGUGAUCGGCCACACUGGGACUGAGACACGGCCCAGACUCCUACGGGAGGCAGCAGUAGGGAAUCUUCCGCAAUGGACGAAAGUCUGACGGAGCAACGCCGCGUGAGUGAUGAAGGUUUUCGGAUCGUAAAGCUCUGUUGUUAGGGAAGAACAAGUGCCGUUCAAAUAGGGCGGCACCUUGACGGUACCUAACCAGAAAGCCACGGCUAACUACGUGCCAGCAGCCGCGGUAAUACGUAGGUGGCAAGCGUUGUCCGGAAUUAUUGGGCGUAAAGGGCUCGCAGGCGGUUUCUUAAGUCUGAUGUGAAAGCCCCCGGCUCAACCGGGGAGGGUCAUUGGAAACUGGGGAACUUGAGUGCAGAAGAGGAGAGUGGAAUUCCACGUGUAGCGGUGAAAUGCGUAGAGAUGUGGAGGAACACCAGUGGCGAAGGCGACUCUCUGGUCUGUAACUGACGCUGAGGAGCGAAAGCGUGGGGAGCGAACAGGAUUAGAUACCCUGGUAGUCCACGCCGUAAACGAUGAGUGCUAAGUGUUAGGGGGUUUCCGCCCCUUAGUGCUGCAGCUAACGCAUUAAGCACUCCGCCUGGGGAGUACGGUCGCAAGACUGAAACUCAAAGGAAUUGACGGGGGCCCGCACAAGCGGUGGAGCAUGUGGUUUAAUUCGAAGCAACGCGAAGAACCUUACCAGGUCUUGACAUCCUCUGACAAUCCUAGAGAUAGGACGUCCCCUUCGGGGGCAGAGUGACAGGUGGUGCAUGGUUGUCGUCAGCUCGUGUCGUGAGAUGUUGGGUUAAGUCCCGCAACGAGCGCAACCCUUGAUCUUAGUUGCCAGCAUUCAGUUGGGCACUCUAAGGUGACUGCCGGUGACAAACCGGAGGAAGGUGGGGAUGACGUCAAAUCAUCAUGCCCCUUAUGACCUGGGCUACACACGUGCUACAAUGGACAGAACAAAGGGCAGCGAAACCGCGAGGUUAAGCCAAUCCCACAAAUCUGUUCUCAGUUCGGAUCGCAGUCUGCAACUCGACUGC
Molecule: ribosomal RNA, 1232 nt
Filed under: Bacillus sp. (in: firmicutes)
Lineage: Bacteria; Bacillati; Bacillota; Bacilli; Caryophanales; Bacillaceae
Description: bacterial SSU rRNA
Rfam family: Bacterial small subunit ribosomal RNA
Source: RNAcentral